AAAUUUUUCUGUAUUUAAUUUUUUCCAGCUAUAUAAAAAUACUUCAUUGCUGAUGAGUGACUCCAGAAUGACAAACCCGGUAUAUACCUGCACAAAAAACCUGUUCGCUAUUAAACAAGGGCUCGCAACCCAGGCCUUGUGAAAGGCAAAUACGAAACCAAAACAUGUUCAUAAUAGGAGGAGAGAAAGUCCAUGAGGCAGCAGAUGUAAAACUCCGGCUUUCAAUAGACUAGCAAAUAACCAAUGAAAGAAUAAUGACUUGAAAGACGCCGGGCCAAGCUCUGUGCUGGCGCAGCUCCAUCAAAGCUGGUGGAGAUAGGCCAGCAGCGGAUGUUUCCCACUUCGUCAGUCGAAUGUGAAGAGUUUAUUUUCCAAGCCACCCUCCUCUUACUUUAAUUCCCUGUCGUUGAUCGAUGGGUGUCCCAAAGAUGCUGAGUGGAGAAAGCUGUCUCUUACAGAACUGGUACUUCGCUGAAUGAAAACAAAAGGUCUCCCGUCUGGAAAUGGCAAGGAGAUUUCUUCAAGCAGCUGCCAAAAAAAAAACAGAUAAAAGAAAAAUUAUAAGCUAGAGGCUGCGCUUUCUGAGGACGCUGCCAAUUUUUUAAAAGGAUAAUCCCAGUAGAUAUGGCAUUAUGCGACAAAAGUCCUGUUGUGGAAAUACUGCCAAUUUUUUAAAUGUCGGCAUUUAAUCUCUUGGCAGUAAUGUGAGUCAAACUGCGCUUUUAUUUUUAUUUUUUUACAGUCACUAAUAACAUAUUUGCAUACUUUGCAGCAGCAACAUAUGGUCUGAGGAAGGUUAAUUUGCUCUGCAAUUAAUAGUCAGUGGUACAUGAAGCCACGCAAGGCUAGUAGGGACCAGACCGACAGAAAGCUGCUGAUGUUGGAGCACGGAGAGGAGGGGAACCUUUGCCAAGCACCUGACUCUGCUGCAACCUGAUUUUCCCUUCAGAGCAGCUGAUAAAGGCAACAACAGAAAAUGUUACAGAAUUACAAGUCCCUUGUCACUGUCACCCCAAAAGUCACUUGCUGGGAAGGGGAAGUGGCAGUGCCAGGAAGCACAGCAGAUCCAGCUCUCUGAGCUGCCUGGAGGACACAGCACAUGUCCCCUGCUCUCUGAAGACCAGGCUCCACACCAUGGGACCGAGAUCCCCGUCACGUUGCUCUGAUAGAUGGAAGCCCACUUGGGAGCUGUCUACGGGGUGGACCAGAGCUGAAUCGGGCAGUUCAGGCUCACUCUCAUCCUCUUUGGGCUUUUCUCUUCCAGCAAGCACUUGUUAGUCAGUCUUGGCACAGAAACAAACAGGCAAUGGUUGAGGUUGGUCCUCAAAGCAGGCAUAAGCUCUCCUUACCUUUCAGCAAGGAUCUGGCCAGCAAUUAAUUUCCCAGCGGAGUUCUGCAGCAGAUCCAGGCUUUCCUACUUGGUCUGUGAGUAGCAAGCCCAAGGCUUGUGCUUGUUUUCACAAGGAAGCUCCUUCAGGCUGCGCCAUAGCUGGGGAAUCAGCGGGUAGGUUUGAAAGAACUGCAGAAUUGCUCAAAAGCCUGCAAAAUCACGGAGAAACAAAAGUCACGGGAAAAGCAUCCAUUACCCUGACCUUUCCCCUUAAACACAAG
Molecule: long non-coding RNA, 1611 nt
Organism: Anser brachyrhynchus (Pink-footed goose)
Lineage: Eukaryota; Metazoa; Chordata; Aves; Anseriformes; Anatidae
Source: Ensembl